RNAcentral lists this ribosomal RNA (305 nucleotides) under uncultured bacterium. RNAcentral describes it as "bacterial SSU rRNA". It matches the Rfam family "Bacterial small subunit ribosomal RNA", at positions 337 to 641 of the family's 1533-position model. The record is from RNAcentral.
UCCCUACGGAGGCAGCAGUGGGGAAUAUUGCACAAUGGGCGCAAGCCUGAUGCAGCGACGCCGCGUGCGGGAUGGAGGCCUUCGGGUUGUAAACCGCUUUUGUUCAAGGGCAAGGCACGGUCUUUGGCCGUGUUGAGCGGAUUGUUCGAAUAAGCACCGGCUAACUACGUGCCAGCAGCCGCGGUAAUACGUAGGGUGCAAGCGUUAUCCGGAUUUAUUGGGCGUAAAGGGCUCGUAGGCGGUUCGGCGCGUCCGGUGUGAAAGUCCAUCGCUUAACGGUGGAUCCGCUCAGGGUACGGGCGGGG